AACGAACGCUGGCGGCGCGUUUUAAACAUGCAAGUCGCACGAGAGCCCCGAUGCUUGCAUUGGGGGGAGAGUGGCGAACGGGUGAGUAACACGUGGAUUAUCUACCUUCAGGUCUGGGAUAACUUCGGGAAACCGGGGCUAAUACCGGAUAAUAUGGCAACAUUAAAGGUGGGGACCUUCGGGCCUAUCACCUGGAGAUGAGUCCGCGUCCCAUUAGCUUGUUGGUGGGGUAAUGGCCUACCAAGGCGACGAUGGGUAGCCGGCCUGAGAGGGUGUACGGCCACAUUGGGACUGAGAUACGGCCCAGACUCCAACGGGAGGCAGCAGUUAAGAAUCUUGCGCAAUGGGCGAAAGCCUGACGCAGCGACGCCGCGUGGACGAUGAAGGCCUUCGGGUUGUAAAGUCCGGUAAGCAGGGAAGAAUAAGCGUAAGGUAAUAUCUUGCGUGAUGACGGUACCUGCCUAAAGCCCCGGCUAACUACGUGCCAGCAGCCGCGGUAAUACGUAUGGGGCAAGCGUUGUUCGGAAUUAUUGGGCAUAAAGGGCGUCUAGGCGGGGGAAUAAGUUAGGUGUGAAAGCCAUGGGCUCAACUCAUGAAUUGCACCUAAAACUGUUUCUCUUGAGUUCGGGAGAGGAGAGCGGAAUUCCCGGUGUAGCGGUGAAAUGCGUAGAUAUCGGGAAGAACACCAGUGGCGAAGGCGGCUCUCUGGCCUAGAACUGACGCUGAAGCGCGAAAGCGUGGGGAGCGAACGGGAUUAGAUACCCCGGUAGUCCACGCCGUANACGUUGUGUACUAGGUGUUAGUGGCUUGACCACUAGUGCCGUCGCAAACGCAUUAAGUACACCGCCUGGGG
This 853-nucleotide ribosomal RNA is filed under the name uncultured Bacillota bacterium. RNAcentral's name for it is "bacterial SSU rRNA". It matches the Rfam family "Bacterial small subunit ribosomal RNA", at positions 28 to 878 of the family's 1533-position model. Lineage: Bacteria; Bacillati; Bacillota. The record is from RNAcentral.